UACGAAGGGGGCUAGCGUUGUUCGGAUUUACUGGGCGCAAAGCGCGCGUAGGUGGAUUGUUAAGUGAGGGGUGAAAUCCCAAGGCUCAACCUUGGAACUGCCUUACAUACUGGCAAUCUUGAGUUCGGAAGAGGUGAGUGGAAUUCCAAGUAUAGAGGUGAAUUUCGUAGAUAUUUGGAAGAACACCGGAGGCGAAGGCGGCUCACUGGUCCGAUACUGACACUGUGGUGCGAAAGCGUGGGGAGCAAACAGG
This 253-nucleotide ribosomal RNA is filed under the name uncultured bacterium. RNAcentral's name for it is "partial 16S ribosomal RNA". It matches the Rfam family "Bacterial small subunit ribosomal RNA", at positions 524 to 776 of the family's 1533-position model. The record is from RNAcentral.